Molecule: long non-coding RNA, 2303 nt
Filed under: Drosophila guanche
Lineage: Eukaryota; Metazoa; Arthropoda; Insecta; Diptera; Drosophilidae
Source: RNAcentral
GAAGACAUAUGUACAUCUUAACUCCAAGCAAAAUGUAUAUUUUAUUACGGCGAAUAUGUCUUUUUCUAAGCCAAAUGAAUGUGUAAGCUAAAUACCGCUAGGAACCCAUAGUAAUCUGCUUUGACCAGCCAACGAACUAAAAAAACUCAGCAUACUCAAAACAUCAACUCUAGAUCAUAUGGGGAACAUUUUUCCAAUUGAGAUUCUAGAUUCUAGAAGUACUCACCUUUUUAAAUUAAUUGAAAUGGACAAAUAAAAAUACGAUAGUUAACAUCGGAAAAGACUAUUAUAACUGAAACAACUUGAAUUUAAUUCAUAAUAGGCUCUGCACACUGAGCCCCUCCAUGGGGAACUUUGGAAUUUUUUGAAAGAUGUGAAACGACUUGACGAAUGUGUCCAAGGAUUCGAAGAGAUUGGAUUUCCACAGUGUCUAGGUAAGAAAGCAAUAGAAAAAUGCAUUAUACAUCUACAGAUAUGCACAUACAUAUGUAAAUUGGGUUUCCCUUUAUUGUAGAUGGAUGUCAAAUCGAAAAAAAACCAUCAGGAGCUGAGGCAGUCUACCAUCACAAUUAUAAAGGCUGGUACUCCACCACCUCUCGUUUACAUGGUUGACUUGAGACAGGGACAGGUCUAAUAAGCCAUCAAUAAAAUCAUGUGACAUGGGCACAAGGUUAUUAGACUCGUUUACCGAAGACCAAAGAGUACCUGGCAUGUUGAAAUCCCCCAGAACUAUUAAAUCGUCUUUAUCAGAUAGCGAGGAAGAAACAGUUUUAAUGCGGACAAGUACUGCUCGUAUAUGAAGACAUCCAAAGUCGGUGGAAUAUACGACGCAGAGGAAUUCCAGGUUUUGUGAUACCUGGACUAUAAAAGGCUCCGAUGUGAAGUAAGAGUCCACUGCAAUCGGAACCCCUCCUCCACGACGAGACGAAUGGUCAUUAGUAUAAAUUGUAUACCGAUCUGCCAAAACUUCGGAACUAAGAAUUUACAUCCACUUUUGUGCACAAAUAUAAUAUACCCAACUUACAAUUCGAGUACCGAAUAUAAAAAUAAGGAUCACUCCAGAAUUCCUUAAAAUAAACAUUUAUAGAGUAAUUGCUGAAGCAUAAAAAACUGUCCAUGUUAUUUUUGACAUGACGUACAUAUGUACAUUUGCAUCUCAAGUUCUUCAGAAUUGAGCCAUGUCUGUCUGUCCGUCUGUCCGUCCUGAUGAGCGCCUGGUACUCAGAGACCAUAAAAGCUAGAGCCACCAAAUUUUGCAUACAGACUUUUGUAUGCUCACACUGUUUCAGUCAAAAAUGUUUUAAAAACGUUUCCAGCGAACUAGUUUUGAAUUUGGCCCAUGUAAGUGGUCUGUGAUCUGUACCAGUUUGAAUUGACCGAAAAUGUAUGGUCUGAAGUGUUUGGUUGCCCAAACAAUUGCUAACAUUUGUAAGCGCCACAUGCGUGGCGCCCAACGAACCUUUGGAAAAACCUUCGCCAUCUCAAGUUCUUGUAAAAAAUUCAGAAUCAUGAAAAUUUAAUAUUUCUACUGAUUUUGCAGAAACACAGUCCAAUUAAAUUAUUAUUGUUGCCAUACUGAAUGAAAAAUUUGAGGUGGCUGCCUCCUCUAGCACGCUUUUGCUCUCUUCCUCGUGCAGUUUAGCCCCUGAAGUGCAGGAAUUCAUUGUAUAAGUUUCUCAAGUCAUAGCGCUAAUUUUUACAUAAGUACAUACAUAUGUACAUAAGUACAUACAUAUGUACAUAAGUACAUACAUAUGUACAUAUGUAUGUAUAUACAAACUAAGUAAGGGGUAUCAUGGUACCGGUAUUCACGUCACUGUCGGCUUUUAUUAUGUUAAUGCGUGUUUUUAUACCCGGUUCUCGAAGAGUAAAUAGGGUAUAUUGUAUUUGUUUGAAUAACGGUUGUAUGUAACGCACAGAAGGAAGCGGUCCCGACCCCUAAAGUAUAUAUAUUCUUGAUCAGCAUCAAUAGCCGAGUCGAUGGAGCUAUGUCUGUCUGUCCGUCCGUCCGUCUUGUUUGUCGGCUAGUUCUCAGAGACUAUAAGAGCUAGAGCCACCAAAUUUUGGCUCCGGACUGCUGUAUGCUCACACUGAAACCAGUGUAUUUAAAAAAUUAUCCCCGCCCCCUUCCCUGCCGCAAAAGGGCGAAAUCCUACAGUUUUGAAGAUAAAAGAAAACUAAAACGAAAACGCCAUUCCGUAGGGAAUGACCAUAUCUAUCAGAUCACCAAAUUGGGAUCCGAUUGGAUCAUUAUUACAGCCACAAUGAAGAAAUUAAUUUCCAGUGGCUAAACCCACCCCGUC